This 409-nucleotide ribosomal RNA is filed under the name Acanthamoeba sp. Its description in RNAcentral is "SSU rRNA". The stretch from base 1 to 351 matches the Rfam family "Eukaryotic small subunit ribosomal RNA", at positions 780 to 1116 of the family's 1831-position model. The record is from RNAcentral. Lineage: Eukaryota; Discosea; Longamoebia; Acanthamoebidae.
GCAGAUCCAUUUUCUGCCACCGAAUACAUUAGCAUGGGAUAAUGGAAUAGGACCCUGUCCUCCUAUUUUCAGUUGGUUUUGGCAGCGCGAGGACUAGGGUAAUGAUUAAUAGGGAUAGUUGGGGGCAUUAAUAUUUAAUUGUCAGAGGUGAAAUUCUUGGAUUUAUGAAAGAUUAACUUCUGCGAAAGCAUCUGCCAAGGAUGUUUUCAUUAAUCAAGAACGAAAGUUAGGGGAUCGAAGACGAUCAGAUACCGUCGUAGUCUUAACCAUAAACGAUGCCGACCAGCGAUUAGGAGACGUUGAAUACAAAACACCACCAUCGGCGCGGUCGUCCUUGGCGUCUCGGUUUCGGGCGGGGCGCGGGGGCGGCUUAGCCCGGUGGCACCGGUGAAUGACUCCCCUACCAGCU